RNAcentral lists this ribosomal RNA (419 nucleotides) under uncultured bacterium. RNAcentral's name for it is "bacterial SSU rRNA". It matches the Rfam family "Bacterial small subunit ribosomal RNA", at positions 355 to 786 of the family's 1533-position model. The record is from RNAcentral.
UGGGGAAUAUUGCACAAUGGGGGAAACCCUGAUGCAGCAACGCCGCGUGAAGGAUGAAGGUUUUCGGAUCGUAAACUUCUAUCAACAGGGACGAAACAAAUGACGGUACCUGAAUAAGAAGCCCCGGCUAACUACGUGCCAGCAGCCGCGGUAAUACGUAGGGGGCAAGCGUUAUCCGGAAUUACUGGGUGUAAAGGGAGCGUAGGCGGCACGUCAAGCCAGAUGUGAAAGCCCGGGGCUUAACCCCGUGGAUUGCAUUUGGAACUGGCGAGCUAGAGUACAGGAGAGGAAAGCGGAAUUCCUAGUGUAGCGGUGAAAUGCGUAGAUAUUAGGAAGAACACCAGUGGCGAAGGCGGCUUUCUGGACUGAAACUGACGCUGAGGCUCGAAAGCGUGGGGAGCAAAACAGGAUUAGAUACC